GCUUGCACAAAAUGAUUUAGUGGCGAAUCGGGAGAGUAAACACGUGAGUAACGCUGCCCUUUAACUUCGGGAUAAAGCUUGGGAAACCGGGUCUAAUACCGGAUACGACGGAUUCCCACAUGGGGGUCCGUGGAAAGCUUGAUGCGGUUUUGGGAUGGACUCGCGGCCUAUCAGCUAGUUGGUUGGGGUAAUGGUCCACCAAGGCGACGACGGGUAGCCGGCCUGAGAGGGUGACCGGCCACACUGGGAUUGAGACACGGCCCAGACUCCUACGGGAGGCAGCAGUGGGGAAUAUUGCACAAUGGGCGAAAGCCUGAUGCAGCGACGCCGCGUGAGGGACGAAGGCCUUCGGGUUGUAAACCUCUUUCAGCAGGGAAGAAGCGAAAGUGACGGUACCUGCAGAAGAAGCGCCGGCUAACUACGUGCCAGCAGCCGCGGUAAUACGUAGGGCGCAAGCGUUAUCCGGAAUUAUUGGGCGUAAAGAGCUCGUAGGCGGUUUGUCGCGUCUGCUGUGAAAGCCCGGGGCUCAACCCCGGGUCUGCAGUGGGUACGGGCAGACUAGAGUGCAGUAGGGGAGACUGGAAUUCCUGGUGUAGCGGUGAAAUGCGCAGAUAUCAGGAGGAACACCGAUGGCGAAGGCAGGUCUCUGGGCUGUAACUGACGCUGAGGAGCGAAAGCAUGGGGAGCGAACAGGAUUAGAUACCCUGGUAGUCCAUGCCGUAAACGUUGGGCAAUAGGUGGGGGGGCAUUCCACAUUUUUCCGCUCCAUAGCUAACGCAUUAAGUGCCCCGCUUGGGGAGUACGGCGGCAAGGCUAAAACUCAAAGGAAUUGACGGGGGCCCGCACAAGCGGCGGAGCAUGCGGAUUAAUUUGAUGCAACGCGAAGAACCUUACCAAGGCUUGACAUGAACCGGAAAGGCCGGGAAACAGGUCCCCCACUUGUGGCCGGUUUACAGGUGGAGCAUGGUUGUCGUCAGCUCGCGUCGUGAGAUGUUGGGUUAAGUCCCGCAACGAGCGCAACCCUCGUUCUAUGUUGCCAGCGGGUUAUGCCGGGGACUCAUAGGAGACUGCCGGGGUCAACUCGAAGGAAGGUGGGGAGGACGUCAAAUCAUCAUGCCCCUUAUGUCUUGGGCUUCACGCAGGCUAUCAAUGGCCGGUACAAAGGGUGGCGAUACUGCGAGGUGGAGCUAAUCCCAAAAAACCGGUUUCAGUUAGGAUUGAGGUCUGCAACUCGACCUCAUGAAGAUUGGAGUCCCUCGUAGUCGCAGAUCAGCAACGCCCUGGUGAAGAAGGUUCGGGCCCCCGCACAAACCGCC
RNAcentral lists this ribosomal RNA (1316 nucleotides) under uncultured bacterium. Its description in RNAcentral is "bacterial SSU rRNA". It matches the Rfam family "Bacterial small subunit ribosomal RNA", at positions 78 to 1394 of the family's 1533-position model. The record is from RNAcentral.